UUGAAUAUAUUUUUGAAAAAUGUAAGUAAAAUGAAACGUUUAUUAGUUUUUGUAUUAUUAGACAUGCCUUAUUGUGUGUAUAAUUGUAGAAUGGCUACGACAAAAAGAAACCGAGCUACGAUGGAGCAGAUAAUUCGAAUGAUGGAUUUUUUUGAAGAAACGCCGGGUCUGGCAGGGUCUCGGUUCCAGCAGCUCCAUGGAAAAUCAGACUGCGAUGGGAAGUGGAGCGAAUUAGCUAGUGCACUGUAUUGCCUUGGUGGUGCUGUGAAAAGCGUAGAUCAAUGGCGAACAGUAUGGAGGGAUCUGAAAAGCCGUACAAGCAUCAAGGUCCGAGACAGGAAAAGAAAGCGGGCAAUGACAGGAAAGAAUCCCAUUGAUGAGGAAUUGGAGAGACGAGUCAUUGCCCUUAUAGGUAAUGACUAUGUCCAGGGCCUCGAAAACGUUCCUGAAACUGUGCCUAUAUAGGAGGACCUGCAACUUCGAUUAGAGGAGGGUGAAGAAAGCAUAAUUAUCGAGAUGCUUUCAUUUUCAAAUGGGGUCGACUCAAGCCUCAAAUCACGUGGAGGCAGUAAGAGAAGACGUGUGGAAGAUGUGAGUGAUACGCGAAACGCAUUUUUGAAAAUUGCGCAAACACAAGCGAAUGCUUGGAACAUUCGGAACACAUCUAGAAUAUGUUUUCAUGUCGUUUCGUUUUUCUCAAAAAAUGUUAGCAGAGUCGAGUGCAGCAUCCACCCAAAUUGCAAGCAGGUAAGCUGACGCCUUGCAGAAGUAAAGCAGUUAAGAACAUGAGAGAUUCUUCUUUAAGAAACUUUAAUGUGAUGAUAAGUAGUAUUUAAACCCAUAUAAAAAUACUCAUCUGUGAUUAU
Molecule: long non-coding RNA, 866 nt
Organism: Ceratitis capitata (Mediterranean fruit fly)
Lineage: Eukaryota; Metazoa; Arthropoda; Insecta; Diptera; Tephritidae
Exons: 4
Source: RefSeq, a predicted model, not a curated record